UGCUGGGAGGUCAGACCCUGUGAGGGCUGUGGGGGCAUCAGGCGCAGUGGGCUCCAGGGAGCCUGGCCUGAGACCUGCCCAGUGCAUUGAGGGUGCACCUGGAGCCCACUCCGCCUGAUGCCCCCACAGCCCUCGCAGGGUCUGACCUCCCAGCAUGCACCUGCCCCUCCCUGCACCCCAGAUGUCCACCCUACCUGUUCCCUGACUUCCUCCAUCCUGUCCAGCAGGAUGGGCUGGACAGUGGGACAGCCUGUGUGCACAUUUUGUGGCAAGUAGGAGUGACACACCAUCCCUGGGAGGCACCAUGGUUCCUGCCAAACCCAACCCCAGAACUCUGUCCCUGAGGUGGUUUUACCAAAACCCAAAACCCAGAAUUGUGCUUGUGGCUCAGGGGUCAGCACCUGCUAGUACCAGGACACUACUGGGAGGCUGGGACCUGACCGAAGCCCAUGGUGUCUGUGGCCUGAGGACAGGGUGUGUUGGGGCCAUAAGUCCCGGCCACCAAUGGCCAUUGGGUCCUAGGGCCUCAGCCCCAGUGUUUGCCCUUCCCUGGCUCCUUCUGGUUCAGUCCCAUUAGGGCCCUGGAGCCCAAGACCCAGCACCCAAGGUCCCCUCCAGGAAUACUGGCGGCUUGGCUUCCUUUAUCAUGUUUCAUCUGAGAGCAAAAAUGUCAGAUCGGAUGCACAGAAAAAUGGCCCAAAUUGUUUAAUAACUAGAAGAAAUAUAGGAGCAGCAAGAGGGUAAUAUGGAGAGGGGAGGGCCUCCAUGACCGGUGUCUGCAGAGCCAGGGGUACAGGCACCCAGUGUUGUGGCCUGGCACCACCGGCCUCUCAGAGCGUGGGUGGCCCACUGUCUUUACCCGGAGGACAGCAGGCCUGAUCACCAGCUUUUCUACCUGUCCCUGUAAGCAUCACGUUGCUAGAAGAAAAUCUCAUGCCAGAGCUUGCACCAUCCCUAGCUUGGGGGUUAGGGGUUGUCUCUUGGUGACCUAAAUGAAAAAAUAGGUCCAGAUCAGAGUUCCUGACGCAGAGCACUCACCCACUCUUUGAAUCGUGGGAGGGGAGGCCUGGUUUUAGUUAAACCUAACCUCUUUGAGGAACCACAGAGCCCAAGACUGGAAGCCUUCAGAAUCUUCUGGCCCCCAACCCUCCCUGGGGACCCCUGUGGCCUGUCUCACCAGAGCACUCUUCUGUCUGUAGAUGUCUCAGCUGCUCUACAAGGGAGUCCCAUUUCAGAGCAGGACAAACAGGCCCGGUGGUGUCAGGAGCCCAGGUCUCCAGCUGGAGGGAACGUCAACCCUGCAGUGGGAGCAGGGGCCCAUCGCACAUCCUAGGCACAGAUGCUAAUGCAGGCACUGCAGAAGCACUGCUGACUGUAAGUGGUUGCCGUUUGUGGCAGUGAGCAUUUUGUCCAUUCUGAGGUUGGAUUGGUUUCUCCUUUUGGCCUUGCCCUGCCCUACAGACCAUAAAGGAGAACAGCAAGAAGCCCCCAGCAAACAUCCACAUAUGGCCCUGGACAUCAGCCACAUUCUGAGGAACAUGUCAUGUUCUGGGAGGGCUAAGGCAUCAACCUUACCCUGUAGGAAUUCUAGUGACUAUGUUGCCACCAUCUUGGAGCUCCAUGCCCUCAUAGUGUAAUGGCACCAGCAGAUCUGCCUGUGCACAGACUUCCUGUACUACCUCACUCCUGAGGGGAGAUGCUUCUGCGGGCCUGCGACCUGGUGCUCAACUUUAGACACCAUCAUCCUGGAGCGGCACUGCACCCUCACUAGCCAGGGUGUUGACGUCCUCAAGGCCAAGGCCACAUUCAAGACUUUGGACUUCAUUGAUGCACUUGUGCCGAGCAAGCUUAUCUGAUCUUCUGGGAUCUCUACUAGGAUGCUGGCAGCCCAGCCAGCUGGUCUGGCCCUGGACGUGCCUUCAGGGGCUGGGUAUGCUUCAUGACCUGUGUUUUGAUCCUGGUUGGAGUAAAACAUUCCAUGGGAACUCGGGCUGUGAGAAAUGUCCUAACCACCUGACUGCAGAAACAUCCUUAUCACAUCCUGCUGGGCAAAGGCCCAACAGCCUGACUUCAGGAACAUCCUUAUCAUCUUCUACUGAGCAGCAAGCUAUACUGUCCAGAGCCCUCCCUCCCAGCGCUAUGAUUACCCCAGCCUGUGAGCGGCAGUGGGCACUGACACUAAGCUGGUUUCCCCCUCCGCAGGGUUUUGCUAGUAAUAAACCUGUGUUGCUGUUGAA
This 2237-nucleotide long non-coding RNA is filed under the name Homo sapiens (human). Its description in RNAcentral is "PREDICTED lncRNA (TCONS_00265223)". Lineage: Eukaryota; Metazoa; Chordata; Mammalia; Primates; Hominidae. The record is from RNAcentral.